RNAcentral lists this ribosomal RNA (253 nucleotides) under uncultured bacterium. RNAcentral describes it as "partial 16S ribosomal RNA". It matches the Rfam family "Bacterial small subunit ribosomal RNA", at positions 524 to 776 of the family's 1533-position model. The record is from RNAcentral.
UACGUAGGGGGCAAGCGUUGUUCGGAUUCAUUGGGCGUAAAGGGUGUGUAGGUGGCGCCGUAAGUCGGGUGUGAAAUUUCGGAGCUUAACUCCGAAACUGCAUUCGAUACUGCGGUGCUUGAGGACUGGAGGGGAGACUGGAAUUCCUGGUGUAGCGGUGAAAUGCGUAGAUAUCGUAAGGAAGACCAGUGGCGAAGGCGGGUCUCUGGACAGUUCCUGACGCUGAGGCACGAAGGUCAGGGGAGCAAACGGG